Molecule: transfer RNA, 77 nt
Filed under: Deltaproteobacteria bacterium RIFOXYD12_FULL_56_24
Lineage: Bacteria; Deltaproteobacteria
Description: tRNA-Arg
Rfam family: tRNA
About the family: Transfer RNA (tRNA) molecules are approximately 80 nucleotides in length. Their secondary structure includes four short double-helical elements and three loops (D, anti-codon, and T loops).
Source: RNAcentral
GCGCCUGUAGCUCAGCUGGAUAGAGCAUCGGCCUUCGAAGCCGGGAGUCGUGGGUUCGAAUCCCUCCGGGCGCACCA